UACGUAGGGUCCGAGCGUUGUCCGGAAUUACUGGGCGUAAAGAGCUCGUAGGUGGUUUGUCGCGUUGUUCGUGAAAACUCACAGCUUAACUGUGGGCGUGCGGGCGAUACGGGCAGACUUGAGUACUGCAGGGGAGACUGGAAUUCCUGGUGUAGCGGUGAAAUGCGCAGAUAUCAGGAGGAACACCGGUGGCGAAGGCGGGUCUCUGGGCCGAUACUGACGCUGAGGAGCGAAAGCGUGGGGAGCAAACAGG
This 253-nucleotide ribosomal RNA is filed under the name uncultured bacterium. RNAcentral's name for it is "partial 16S ribosomal RNA". It matches the Rfam family "Bacterial small subunit ribosomal RNA", at positions 524 to 776 of the family's 1533-position model. The record is from RNAcentral.